GACGAAUCUAAUUGGUAAUGAUGGGCAAAGACGGGUAGCCGCUAGUCCUUGUGAUGUUGCUCUCUUUGCCCCCUGUUUAACGCCCAAAACUGCGUACUGAAGCAACCAAAUCUUGUUCCUUUCUCAGAUACAGUGGUAUUUCUUUCGUUGGAUUCUUUAGCUUCCUUUCAUGGUGACAGGAGAGAUGGCCCGAAAUUCGCCGGAAGCCCGUGGUAGUGAGGAUUGCAUAGAACUUCUCAAGAAAAUGGAUCUUCAAGAGGUUCUGCAGGUUUUGUCUGGAGGAUUUUGCCACCAUUGCCAGGCUCUUUUAGAAAGUCGAAUUCACAAUCUCAUCAGUGGAAAAGUUAGUAAAAUGUCUUUGUCCAAUGAUAGCAUCAAAGUUUCAAAAGGAUUUCAGUCUGCAGAUGCAACAAACAUCAAUUCAUCUUAUAAUAAUUUGGAAUCUUUGUCUGCUGGGAAAUCAAGUCCAACCUUGAGCUCUAACCAAGAACCUAAAUCUGUUUGCUCAACGAGGCAAAAAGGGGUCACUGCUACUUCUUCACCUGCAUCAGUAAACAGCCAUCAGAAUUCAAUUGAUAGUUUGGGUUUUGAAAUACUGUUGAAUGAUGGACUUGCAGGAGCAUCUUCUAAGGUGGACAAUGGUUUAUCGGAGGAGCAAAAGGAGCAGAUUAGGUUUUCAAAAAUUGGCAGGAAAAAGGAUUUUGCGUGUACUGAGAGAAUCAAUGGGAAAUCAACCAAUAUUCUUAAAGGGCUAGAACUUCAUACUAAGGUUUUCAAUCCUGAAGAGCAGAAGAAAAUAGUUGAAUGUGUUUACAAUCUACAGCGCAUGGGCAGGAAGGGGCAACUUAGAGAACGCACAUAUUCAGAACCUAAGAAAUGGAUGCGUGGUAAAGGACGCAUCACAAUGCAAUUUGGAUGCUGUUACAAUUAUGCAGUGGACAAAAAUGGGAACCCCCCAGGUAUAGAUCGAGAUGAAGUUGUUGAUCCUCUGCCACCCACUUUCAAGCAAAUGAUCAAGAGAAUGGUCAGGUGGCAUGUUUUGCCUCCGACAUGCAUUCCUGACAGCUGCAUCGUGAAUAUAUAUGAUGAAGGGGAUUGCAUUCCGCCUCAUAUUGAUCAUCAUGACUUUCUUCGACCAUUUUGUACUGUGUCAUUCUUGACUGAAUGCAACAUAGUCUUUGGUUCAAAUUUGAAGAUUCUCAGUCCGGGAGAGUUCUCUGGGCCUGUCUCUAUGCCUUUGCCUGUUGGAUCGGUUCUUGUUCUAAAUGGUAAUGGAGCAGACAUUGCUAAGCACUGCAUUCCAGGAGUCCCAGCAAAACGGAUUUCCAUAACUUUCAGGAAAAUGGAUGAUAGCAAACUACCAUACCAGUUCUCACCAGACCCUGACCUGUUGGGAAUUAAGCCUCUUGCAUAUUCUCCCUUGACAAAGUCACCAUACCAACAAAGCCAGCCGCAGAAGCCUCUUGGUUAUCAUUCAAUUGCUAAGUCACCAUUUCAGCAAAGCAACCACCAGAAUGGCAAACUCACAGCAAAGGAAUGUGGAAGUGGCAACACGAAUAACACCUCAUUUUUCAUGGACGAAGAUCAUUUUCCUCCGCUUGGCAGCUCAAAUUCUUCUAGUCGAUCCAGGGCUAGUAGAGCUGGAUCAAAACAAUACUUCGGCUAAAUCACUGAUUCAUUAACCUCAUGUACUUGUUUAUGUUAUGCAGCUGUUAGUGAAGUAACAAAUUUUGAUGCAUAUGACGAUAGUUUCAUUUACACAUGCAUGCUUACAGUUACUUUCUACUGUUUUAAAUCUGAAGUAGCUGACAUUAGAUGGAAAAUGACAUAAGAUGGAAAAUUGUUAUGAUUUUUGUCAAGAAGCAUGCGUCUUCCUUAUCUUGUGUGUGCGCG
This 1893-nucleotide unclassified non-coding RNA is filed under the name Hevea brasiliensis (rubber tree). The record is from RNAcentral. Lineage: Eukaryota; Viridiplantae; Streptophyta; Magnoliopsida; Malpighiales; Euphorbiaceae.